Molecule: transfer RNA, 71 nt
Filed under: Nocardia jinanensis
Lineage: Bacteria; Bacillati; Actinomycetota; Actinomycetes; Mycobacteriales; Nocardiaceae
Description: tRNA-Asn
Rfam family: tRNA
About the family: Transfer RNA (tRNA) molecules are approximately 80 nucleotides in length. Their secondary structure includes four short double-helical elements and three loops (D, anti-codon, and T loops).
Source: RNAcentral
ACGGUAGCUCAUCUGGUAGAGCAUCGGACUGUUAAUCCGACGGUAGUGGGUUCGAAUCCCACUCGUUGUUC